This 395-nucleotide long non-coding RNA is filed under the name Vulpes vulpes (red fox). Its description in RNAcentral is "lncRNA (ENSVVUG00000023195.1)". The record is from RNAcentral. Lineage: Eukaryota; Metazoa; Chordata; Mammalia; Carnivora; Canidae.
CAAGGGUCAGGUUUGUACCAUUGACCAGUUUCACACCUUGGUCACAGAUAACUGGAUCAGGGAUGGACAUUGGACCUAAACUCAGUCAAUCCAGUUCUUCUUCCAGAAACACAGUAUUGGACACAGGAAAACAGAACAGGACUUUUCAGCGACAAGGCCAAGUUGGUAAAGUAAAAGAAUACACAGCCAUGCGUGACAGAGACCGGGCAGCCCUGCCCUUGGCCCAACCAUCUACUCUCUAUACCUGUGCCCACACAGAUCCUGAGCUAAGAAUGCCUGCUGUAUCUGAAAGCCCUUGGUAAAUUCCAUGGAAGAAGAUCGACAAUGAGAAUCAUUGAUCUUAGGUUGCCUCAAACCCUCCUCUCCUCACGGUGGCCAGAAGAAGCCAGCUUUAC